GCUACUGCUAUCAGAGUUUGAUUAAGCCAUGUUAGUCGAGGGUAUCUUUUCUUCGGAAGAGGUAACCGGCGGACGGCUCAGUAACACGUAGACAACUUACCCUUGGGACCGGGAUAACCCUUGGGAAACUAGGGCUAAUACCGGAUAGUGCAUCGAUUGCUGGAAUGCAUGAUGUACGAAAGCUGAGGCGCCCAAGGAUAGGUCUGUGGCCGAUUAGGUUGUUGUUGAUGUAACGGAUCAACAAGCCUACGAUCGGUACGGGUUGUGAGAGCAAUAGCCCGGAGAUGGGUUCUGAGAGAAGAACCCAGGUCCUACGGGACGCAUCAGGCGCGAAAACUUUACAAUGUGCGAAAGCACGAUAAGGGAACUCUGAGUGCCUCCUAGGGAGGCUGUUCAGGUGUUUAAAAAGCAUCUGGAGGAAGGGCUGGGCAAGACCGGUGCCAGCCGCCGCGGUAACACCGGCAGCCCAAGUGGUAGUCAUGUUUACUGGGUCUAAAGCGUCCGUAGCCGGCUAGGUAAGUUCCUUGGGAAAUUUGAUCGCUUAACGAUUAAGCUUCCUGGGAAUACUACUUGGCUUGGGACCGGGAGAGGUUAGAGGUACCUCAAGGGUAGGGGUGAAAUCCGUUAAUCCUUGGGGGACCACCGGUAGCGAAGGCGUCUGACCAGACCGGAUCCGACGGUGAGGGACGAAGGCUAGGGGAGCGAACCGGAUUAGAUACCCGGGUAGUCCUAGCUGUAAACGAUGCGGGCUAGGUGUUGGCAUUACUGCGAGUGAUGCCAGUGCCGAAGGGAAGCCGUUAAGCCCGCCAUCUGGGGAGUACGGUCGCAAGGCUGAAACUUAA
RNAcentral lists this ribosomal RNA (842 nucleotides) under uncultured archaeon. RNAcentral's name for it is "bacterial SSU rRNA". It matches the Rfam family "Archaeal small subunit ribosomal RNA", at positions 23 to 859 of the family's 1478-position model. The record is from RNAcentral.